UACGUAGGGAGCGAGCGUUGUCCGGAAUUACUGGGCGUAAAGGGUGCGUAGGCGGUAGGCCAAGUCAGAUGUGAAAUCCCCGGGCUUAACUCGGGUGGUGCAUUUGAAACUGGUUUACUUGAGUGCAGGAGAGGAAAGCGGAAUUCCUAGUGUAGCGGUGAAAUGUGUAGAUAUUAGGAGGAACACCAGUGGCGAAGGCGGCUUUCUGGACUGUAACUGACGCUGAGGCACGAAAGCGUGGGGAGCAAACAGGAUUAGAUACCCUGGUAGUCCCUGA
Molecule: ribosomal RNA, 277 nt
Filed under: uncultured prokaryote
Description: partial 16S ribosomal RNA
Rfam family: Bacterial small subunit ribosomal RNA
Source: RNAcentral